RNAcentral lists this ribosomal RNA (2069 nucleotides) under Acinetobacter baumannii. RNAcentral's name for it is "bacterial LSU rRNA". It matches the Rfam family "Bacterial large subunit ribosomal RNA", at positions 1 to 2099 of the family's 2925-position model. The record is from RNAcentral. Lineage: Bacteria; Pseudomonadati; Pseudomonadota; Gammaproteobacteria; Moraxellales; Moraxellaceae.
GUUGUAUAGUCAAGUAAUUAAGUGCAUGUGGUGGAUGCCUUGGCAGUCAGAGGCGAUGAAAGACGUGAUAGCCUGCGAAAAGCUCCGGGGAGGCGGCAAAUAUCCUUUGAUCCGGAGAUGUCUGAAUGGGGGAACCCACCUACUUUAAGGUAGGUAUUGCAACAUGAAUACAUAGUGUUGCAAGGCGAACGAGGGGAAGUGAAACAUCUCAGUACCCUUAGGAAAAGAAAUCAAUUGAGAUUCCCUCAGUAGCGGCGAGCGAACGGGGAUCAGCCCAUUAAGUUAUGUGUGUUUUAGUGGAACGCUCUGGGAAGUGCGAACGUAGAGGGUGAUAUUCCCGUACACGAAAGGGCACACAUAAUGAUGACGAGUAGGGCGAGGCACGUGAAACCUUGUCUGAAUAUGGGGGGACCAUCCUCCAAGGCUAAAUACUCCUGACUGACCGAUAGUGAACCAGUACCGUGAGGGAAAGGCGAAAAGAACCCCUGUGAGGGGAGUGAAAUAGAUCCUGAAACCGCAUGCAUACAAGCAGUGGGAGCACCUUCGUGGUGUGACUGCGUACCUUUUGUAUAAUGGGUCAGCGACUUAUAUUCAGUAGCGAGGUUAACCGUAUAGGGGAGCCGUAGAGAAAUCGAGUCUUAAUAGGGCGUUUAGUUGCUGGGUAUAGACCCGAAACCAGGCGAUCUAUCCAUGAGCAGGUUGAAGGUUGGGUAACACUAACUGGAGGACCGAACCCACUGUCGUUGAAAAGCCAGGGGAUGACUUGUGGAUAGGGGUGAAAGGCUAAUCAAGCCUGGUGAUAGCUGGUUCUCCCCGAAAGCUAUUUAGGUAGCGCCUCGGACGAAUACCAUAGGGGGUAGAGCACUGUUUCGGCUAGGGGGUCAUCCCGACUUACCAAACCGAUGCAAACUCCGAAUACCUAUGAGUACUAUCCGGGAGACAGACUGCGGGUGCUAACGUCCGUAGUCAAGAGGAAAACAAUCCAGACCGCCAGCUAAGGCCCCAAAAUCAUAGUUAAGUGGGAAACGAUGUGGGAAGGCAUAGACAGCUAGGAGGUUGGCUUAGAAGCAGCCACCCUUUAAAGAAAGCGUAAUAGCUCACUAGUCGAGUCGGCCUGCGCGGAAGAUGUAACGGGGCUAAAACUAUGUGCCGAAGCUGCGGAUGUAUACUUUGUAUACGUGGUAGGGGAGCGUUCUGUAAGCCGAUGAAGGUGUGUUGAGAAGCAUGCUGGAGGUAUCAGAAGUGCGAAUGCUGACGUGAGUAACGACAAAACGGGUGAAAAACCCGUUCGCCGAAAGACCAAGGGUUCCAGUCCAACGUUAAUCGGGGCUGGGUGAGUCGACCCCUAAGGCGAGGCCGAAAGGCGUAGUCGAUGGGAAAAUGGUUAAUAUUCCAUUACUUCUGUGUAAUGCGAUGAGAGGACGGAGAAGGCUAAAUCAGCCUGGCGUUGGUUGUCCAGGUGAAAGGAUGUAGGCAUGUAUCUUAGGCAAAUCCGGGGUACUCUAUGCUGAGAUCUGAUAGCAAGCUGUACUUGUACAGCGAAGUGGUUGAUGCCAUGCUUCCAGGAAAAGUCUCUAAGCUUCAGUUACACAGGAAUCGUACCCGAAACCGACACAGGUGGUCAGGUCGAGUAGACCAAGGCGCUUGAGAGAACUCUGCUGAAGGAACUAGGCAAAAUGGUACCGUAACUUCGGGAGAAGGUACGCUGUUGUUGGUGAUGGAACUCGCUUCCUGAGCUGACGACAGCCGCAGAAACCAGGCCGCUGCAACUGUUUAUUAAAAACAUAGCACUCUGCAAACACGAAAGUGGACGUAUAGGGUGUGAUGCCUGCCCGGUGCUGGAAGGUUAAUUGAUGGGGUUAGCGUAAGCGAAGCUCUUGAUCGAAGCCCCAGUAAACGGCGGCCGUAACUAUAACGGUCCUAAGGUAGCGAAAUUCCUUGUCGGGUAAGUUCCGACCUGCACGAAUGGCAUAAUGAUGGCGGCGCUGUCUCCAGCAGAGGCUCAGUGAAAUCGAAAUCGCUGUGAAGAUGCAGUGUACCCGCGGCUAGACGGAAAGACCCCGUGAACC